AGUGAUCGCUGGCGGUAGGCCUAAUACAUGCAAGUCGAACGGCCGCACAAUAAGAUCUCGCUCUUACGCGUGGCGAGUGACUGACGGGUGAGGAAUACAUCCGUAUCUACUUUUUCGUGGGGGAGAACGUAGGGAAACUUACGCUAAUACAGCAUACGACCUACUUGUUUAAUCAGGGGAUCUUCAGACAUUGCGCGAUUUAAUGAGCCGAGGUCGGAUUAGCUAGUUGGCUGGUUAAAGGCCGACCAAGGCGACGAUCCGUACCUGGUCUGAUAGGAUGAUGAGCAACACUGGAACUGAGACACGGUCCAGACUCUUAGGGGGGGAAGCAGUGGGGAAUAUUGGACAAUGGGCGCAAGCCUGACGCAGACAGACCGGGUGGGUGAGGAAGGUCUUCGGGUUGUAAAGCCCUUUUGUUGGGAAAGAAAAGCAGGAGGUUAAAACCCUGAUGUUCUGACGGUACCCAAAGAGUAAGCAACGGCUAACUUCGUG
RNAcentral lists this ribosomal RNA (492 nucleotides) under uncultured bacterium. Its description in RNAcentral is "partial 16S ribosomal RNA". It matches the Rfam family "Bacterial small subunit ribosomal RNA", at positions 29 to 507 of the family's 1533-position model. The record is from RNAcentral.